GCACGUUGCAGGGUUGUACACAAUUCCAGUUCGUUGUUUAUCAGUAGACCGUGAUAACUCCUGGGCUCCCCGUUUAAAAAGCAUCUUCCAAACCGCUCCUCACAGCUAGGGUGUGUCUGUCUGUCAAUGAGGCAUUUAGAAAAGACACCCUAAUAGCAUAUUUGUGAAUGGCUACAAUACAGAAAUUCAGAACAGCCAGGAAACAAGAUACUUGUGGGUGGGCUACCUUAUUUCCCAGAGAGAUAAAAACACAUCAGCAAUCUCUAGUUAUGGUGAAGAGAAUAAUGGCUGUUGCAGUAUCAGGUAUUACUUACUUACGUGGAAUUUUCCCUGAAGAUGCAUACAGCACCCAUUAUUUAGAAGAUCUGUGUGUUAAAGUUUUGCGAGAAGACAGCAUCUAUCCAAGAGUAUCCAAAAUUGUUAAAUGGAUGAAAGGAUGCUUUGAGGCAGUAGAAAAAAAAUAUCUGCAAAUGAUGAUUCUCGGAGUUAGAGUUUUUUCUACAAAGUGGAGGUUGGAUCAAAGAAUGGAUGCUAAUGUAAAGGCGUGCUGUGCUGCCAGAUCAGAAUUUCUAUGCUUGAAAGAUUAGAGCCACAUGUACAAAAGCACUUAGAUAAAUUAAUUUAUCAACCCAGUAGAGCUGCUGGAGACUCAAAAGUGUACAGAAGGACACAACUAACCCAAAUAACAUGAUAGAAUCUUAUCAAUUUAAAUUCAGAUAUACAUCAAAGGGACCACAGAUGGAUGUAUUCAGCAAUAAGAAAACUAAUUUAACAAAUGAUGCAACAGAAGACAUAAAGAGAACCUGUCUUCUUCUAAUUAAUAACCUCUAUUUUCUGAUGGAAAAUAUUGUUUCUCUUCCUAAUGAUGUCUCUCUCACUAUGAAGCUAUUUUAUUAUGCAAAUGGCAAGUAUUAGGAUUUAUUUGUAAAACUUUAUUUAAACAAACAAAAAAUCUGAAUAGAAUGGAACACAUACAUUUUACACAAAAAGAGAAAAAAGACAAAAAAUAAAGUAAAAUGAACAUGACAUGUACCAGUUAUCACUUUGCCUAUAUUUUACAUUGCUUUCUCCCACCUUUUGUCUCUUGUGUAUUUAUAUUGUAAAUACAGUACUUCCAUGCAGGGACCAGCUCUAUCUGUGUGUUUGCACAGUGCCAACAGAAGGAUACACCAAUUCCAGCUGGGGCCUCUAGGCACCACUGUAUUAUAAAUAAAUAAUAAGUAUGAUAUGAAAAGCAGAACUCUCUCUAAUAAAAUUAAUUUUAAAUUUUCCUUGAGGUAUCAGAGAGUGAGUCUUCAAACGUGGGAAUGACCUUCAAUUUUUAUCAUCAUAGAUCUUCAUACUCCACAUUUUGUCCUUAGUUACUUAACAUGUACUUAAAGUAAACAUCUGAUCGUCUCCAUAAUGCCACAAUAAAAUGUCAUCUAAAUUGUAAAUAUUUGAAAACUACAGGUUUUUUUUAAAUACGUACCUGUUUCCUAUUGGUAUUUAAAGGAAUUAAGGACUCAUGUUCAUACAAAUAGAAUUGCCCACAUGUUUAGAAAUGAGCCACUAUUACUACUAUUUAUUAUAAUAAUGAAUUAUUAUUAAUGUAGUGCAUUUAUGAGCAAGAGGAUUCUCUCAGGUGUGUGUUUGUUUUUAAUAGUGACCCCUCCAGAAUACCAGCCUCCUGGCUUUAAAGAGGUAGAGUCAGAGUUUAUCUUAUUCGAAGGCAUUCCUGUGCAUGUGAAGGUGGGAGAAAUAGAAACAUCUUUCCAUACGUUAAAGCUGAAGAUUCUUAAAAGAGAGGAGAGGAUAGAUUCAAUGGAUAUACAUGGCAUCCUGAAAGAAUGUAGAGAAGAUGCAGAAAGAGAAAAGGAACAGAGGCGGGACACUUUAGGAGAAUAUAUUAAUACAGAAUAUGAACCACCAGGAUCUGAAGAGGAAUUUGUUGAUAAAUACCACAAGGUCAAUGAUGAAGCUACAAGAAAGAGGAAGAUAUCAAAGAAGAAAAAGAAGAAUAAAUAAGGAAUGUAUGCAUGUGCAAGUACUUUGAAUUCAGCUAAGCCCACAAGAAGUAUUUUGGUUGCUUGAAAUAUACUGAAGAGAUUUUUAUUUUCAAACUGAAGAAGGAAUUUAGUUCAAGCAGCUGUUUUUAAAUCUUUUCAGUCUCCAAUUCUAAUAUACUCAGACUGUUUUUAAAGGGAAAAAGUAACUUAUUUUACUGAACAUUUAUAAAUAAAAGGUGUUAUGAAAAAAAUAAUUUGUCUACAAAAUACAAUGA
RNA transcript from Mauremys mutica (yellowpond turtle), 2263 nucleotides. It is a transcript of the gene named HORMA domain-containing protein 1-like, with no coding region annotated. The transcript has 13 exons. The record is from RefSeq and is a predicted model, not a curated record. Lineage: Eukaryota; Metazoa; Chordata; Testudines; Geoemydidae.